CUAACAAGGAUUCCCCUAGUAACGGCGAGUGAAGCGGGAUGAGCUCAAAUUUAAAAUCUGGCGGUCUCAGAUCGUCCGAGUUGUAGUCUAGAGAAGCGUUUUCCGUGCUGGCCUGUGUACAAGUCCGUUGGAACACGGCGUCAUAGAGGGUGAGAAUCCCGUCCUUGACACAGAUCUCCAGUGCUUUGUGAUGCGCUCUCAAAGAGUCGAGUUGUUUGGGAAUGCAGCUCAAAAUGGGUGGUAAAUUCCAUCUAAAGCUAAAUAUUGGCGAGAAACCGAUAGCGAACAAGUACCGUGAGGGAAAGAUGAAAAGCACUUUGGAAAGAGAGUUAAACAGUACGUGAAAUUGUUGAAAGGGAAACGAUUGAAGUCAGUCAUGCUUUCCGAGACUCAGCCGGUUCUGCCGGUGUACUUCUCGGUUUGCAGGCCAGCAUCAGUUUUGGGCGGUGGAAAAGGUUGGCGGGAAUGUGGCAUCCUCGGAUGUGUUAUAGCCCGCUUUCGAAUACAUCGCCCGGGACUGAGGAACGCAGCACGCCUCUUGUAGGUCGGUCUUCGGACACGUCCGUGCUUAGGAUGCUGGCAUAAUGGCUUUAAACGACCCGUCUUGAAACA
Molecule: ribosomal RNA, 612 nt
Filed under: Tausonia pullulans
Lineage: Eukaryota; Fungi; Basidiomycota; Tremellomycetes; Cystofilobasidiales; Mrakiaceae
Description: eukaryotic LSU rRNA
Rfam family: Eukaryotic large subunit ribosomal RNA
Source: RNAcentral